Molecule: ribosomal RNA, 253 nt
Filed under: uncultured bacterium
Lineage: Bacteria
Description: partial 16S ribosomal RNA
Rfam family: Bacterial small subunit ribosomal RNA
Source: RNAcentral
UACGUAGGCAGCAAGCGUUGUUCGGAGUUACUGGGCGUAAAGGGUGCGUAGGCGGCUUUUUAAGUUUGGUGUGAAAUCUCCCGGCUUAACUGGGAGGGUGCGCUACAAACUGCCGGGCUAGAGUGUGGGAUGGGAGAGUGGAAUUCCUGGUGUAGCGGUGAAAUGCGUAGAUAUCAGGAGGAACACCGGUGGUGUAGACGGCUCUCUGGACCAUAACUGACGCUGAGACACGAAAGCGUGGGGAGCAAACAGG